GGAAGAAGGAGGACGGUACCUGACUAAGAAGCCCCGGCUAACUACGUGCCAGCAGCCGCGGUAAUACGUAGGGGGCAAGCGUUAUCCGGAUUUACUGGGUGUAAAGGGAGCGUAGGCGGUUACUUAAGUCAGCGGUCAAAUGGCGGGGCUCAACCCCGUCCAGCCGUUGAAACUGGGUAGCUUGAGUCGGCGAGAAGUACGCGGAAUGCGCGGUGUAGCGGUGAAAUGCAUAGAUAUCGCGCAGAACUCCGAUUGCGAAGGCAGCGUACCGGCGCCGCACUGACGCUGAGGCACGAAAGCGUGGGUAUCGAACAGG
This 316-nucleotide ribosomal RNA is filed under the name uncultured bacterium. RNAcentral describes it as "bacterial SSU rRNA". It matches the Rfam family "Bacterial small subunit ribosomal RNA", at positions 443 to 776 of the family's 1533-position model. The record is from RNAcentral.